RNAcentral lists this ribosomal RNA (440 nucleotides) under uncultured bacterium. RNAcentral describes it as "partial 16S ribosomal RNA". It matches the Rfam family "Bacterial small subunit ribosomal RNA", at positions 338 to 795 of the family's 1533-position model. The record is from RNAcentral.
CCUACGGGUGGCUGCAGUGGGGAAUAUUGCACAAUGGAGGGAACUCUGAUGCAGCGACGCCGCGUGAGUGAAGAAGUACUUCGUUAUGUAAAGCUCUAUCAGCAGGGAAGAAAGUGACGGUACCUGAAAAAGAAGCUCCGGCUAAAUACGUGCCAGCAGCCGCGGCAAUACGUAUGGAUCAAGCGUUAUCCGGAUUUACUGGGUGUAAAGGGAGAUUAGGUGGCGGAGCAAGUCCGAAGUGAAAACCAAAAGCGCAGCUAUGGGAAUGCUUUAGAAACUGCUCAGCUAGAGGGCAGGAGAGGCAAGUGGAAUUCUUGGUGUAGCGGUGAAAUGCGUAGAUAUUAGGAGGAACACCAGUGGCGAAGGCGGCUUGCUGGACUGUAACUGACACUGAGGCUCGAAAGCGUGGGGAGCAAACAGGAUUAGAUACCCUUGUAGUC